This 1292-nucleotide long non-coding RNA is filed under the name Numida meleagris (helmeted guineafowl). Its description in RNAcentral is "lncRNA (ENSNMEG00000000656.1)". Lineage: Eukaryota; Metazoa; Chordata; Aves; Galliformes; Numididae. The record is from RNAcentral.
UCCGUCUGUCCCCGAGUCCAUCUGUCCCCAGGCCUGUCUGUCCCUGGGUCCGUCUGUCCCCAGGUCUGUCUGUCCCUGGGUCUGUCUGUCCCUGGGUCCGUCUGUCCCUGGGUCCGUCUGUCCCCGGGUCUGUCUGUCCCUGGGUCUGUCCGUCCCCGGGUCUGUGGGCCCACAUGUGCCUGCGUCUGUUUGGCCCCGUGUUCGUGUGUCUGCCCAUCCCCACAUCCCUGCAUCUGCCUGUCUGUGUGUCCCUCUGUCCGCCUGUCCCUCUGUCCGCCUGUCCCUCUGUCCGCCUCUCCCUGUCCAUCCCUGUGUCCCCGUGGCUGCGUGUCCUCCUGUCCCCAUAUGUCUGUAUGUCCCCAUGUCCACCUGUCCCUAAGCCUGUGUGUCCGCCUGUCCCCAUGUGUCUGUCUGUCCCCGAGUCCAUCUGUCCCCAGGUCUGUCUGUCCCUGGGUCUGUCCGUCCCCGGGUCUGUGGGCCCGCGUGUGCCUGCGUCUGUUUGGCCCCGUGUUCGUGUGUCUGCCCAUCCCCACAUCCCUGCAUCCGCCUGUCUGUGUGUCCAUCUGUCCGCCUGUCCCUCUGUCCGCCUGUCCCUGUCCAUCCCCGUGUCCCCGUGCCUGUGUGUCCUCCUGUCCCCAUAUGUCUGUACGUCCCCAUAUCCCCCUGUCCCUAAGCCUGUGUGUCCGCCUGUCCCCAUGUGUCUGUCCCCGAGUCCGCCUGUCCCUGGGUCUGUCUGUCCCCGGGUCCGUGGGCCCACAUGUGCCUGUGUCUGUUUGGCCCCAUGUUCGUGUGCCCGCCCGUCCCCACAUCCCUGCAUCCGUCUGUCCCCAUGUCUGUGUGUCCCUUUGUCCGCCUGUUCCUGUGUGUCCGCCUGUCCCUGUGUCCGCCUGUCCCCAUGUGUCUCUGUCCCCCAUGUCCGUGUGUCUCAUGUACCCAUGUGCCCCCCCGUGUCCGUGUGUCCGUGCGUCCUUAUGUACCCAUGUGCCCCCCCGUGUCCGUGCGUCUCGCCAUGUCCGUGCAUCCCUCCGUGUCCGUGCGUCCCCGUGUCCAUGCAUCCCUCCCUGUCCGUGCGUCCCCGUGUCCAUGUGUCCUCAUUUACCCAUGUGCCCCCCUGUGUCCAUGCAUCCCCCCGUGUCCGCGCGUCCUCAUGUACCCACGUGCCCCCCCAUGUCCGUGUGUCCCCAUGUCCAUGCAUCCCCCCAUGUCCGUGCAUCCCCCCGUGUCCGUGCGUCCCCCCGUGUCCGUGCGUCCCCCCGUGUCCGUGCGUCCCCCCUAUCCGUGCAUCCCCUAUC